CACACAGUAAACGAUAAUCACUAGGUGUCGGGUUCGAAGAGGAUUCGGUGCCGCAGCUAACGCGUUAAGUGAUUCGCCUGGGGAGUACGAUCGCAAGGUUGAAACUCAAAGGAAUUGACGGGGGCCCGCACAAGCGGUGGAGCAUGUGGUUUAAUUCGAAGCAACGCGAAGAACCUUACCCGGUCUUGACAUCCAAUGGAUCCUUCAGAGAUGAGGGAGUGCCGGCUUGCCGGAGCAUUGAGACAGGUGC
RNAcentral lists this ribosomal RNA (250 nucleotides) under uncultured Candidatus Cloacimonas sp. RNAcentral's name for it is "partial 16S ribosomal RNA". It matches the Rfam family "Bacterial small subunit ribosomal RNA", at positions 796 to 1041 of the family's 1533-position model. The record is from RNAcentral. Lineage: Bacteria; Pseudomonadati; Candidatus Cloacimonadota; Cloacimonadia (SeqCode); Cloacimonadales (SeqCode); Cloacimonadaceae (SeqCode).